AGAGGGUGCGAGCGUUAAUCGGAAUUACUGGGCGUAAAGCGUGCGUAGGUGGCGAGAUCAGUUGGUUGUGAAAGCCCCGGGCUUAACCUGGGAAUUGCAUCCAAUACUAUCUUGCUUGAAUACGGUAGAGGAGAGUGGAAUUUCAGGUGUAGCGGUGAAAUGCGUAGAUAUCUGAAGGAACACCAGUGGCGAAGGCGACUCUCUGGACUGAUAUUGACACUGAGGCACGAAAGCGUGGGGAGCAAACAGGAUUAGAUACCCUGGUAGUCCACGCCCGUAAACGAUGAGAACUAGCUGUUGGGAGAAUCGACUCUUGGUGGCGCAGCUAACGCGUUAAGUUCUCCGCCUGGGGAGUACGGCCGCAAGGUUA
RNAcentral lists this ribosomal RNA (370 nucleotides) under uncultured organism. Its description in RNAcentral is "partial 16S ribosomal RNA". It matches the Rfam family "Bacterial small subunit ribosomal RNA", at positions 527 to 896 of the family's 1533-position model. The record is from RNAcentral.